This 48-nucleotide non-coding RNA is filed under the name Trichobilharzia regenti. The record is from RNAcentral. Lineage: Eukaryota; Metazoa; Platyhelminthes; Trematoda; Strigeidida; Schistosomatidae.
AUCCAGUUGUCGAGUCCCAAAUAGGACGAAGUGUGCGUUAUCCUGGAU